AGUUAGAAAAAGAGCUGUACAGUAAGACAUCAUGCUCAACUUUUCUGAAUUAGAGCUUUGCCAGUAAAAGGGGCAUGAUAGUCAGAAGCUUUGAAAGUACAGAGCUAUUGGUCAUUAUAUAAAACUUAAUAUUUGAUGUAUCAAAAACUUUGUAAAGUCAGCUAAGAAUGCUACAUUUUCAUAGCAGUAAAUAUUCAAGUCACAUAUGUAUGUGAUAAGUAUGGUGUAAGGUUAUGCAUUGUUGUUUAUUACAUAUUUUCUAACAGCAUUUUCAAAAGCAUGCAUUAUUUGAUUACAGUGUACUGUAUGACACUGUUAAUACAUUUUUAUCACGAGUUCGCUUUGUUGUGCGUCUGCAGGUCAGAUUUUCUCAAUCCCUGGGGACUUACUUUUUAAUUUAAAAGGGCUAUGCAUUCUAUUUUAAGGUUUUUAUUAGUCAGCCGAGAGCCAAAUGAAGAUAAAUAUAUUUCUUCACUCUUCGCUCGCUCCUGAUUUUCUCAAAAACCUAAACAAAUAUUUAAAUUAUUUUUUCGCUCGCCGCCUCAAUUUUUUCAGAAAAAAAUCCGAUGAACAACUUAUCAAUUUGGUGUGGCCUUACUUGUAGAAUGAAGAGAUACCAAGUGGUAACUUUGAAGAGUCAGUGCAUUCUGAUGCAGGUCGGGCUGAUGACAUUCCAAAAGUUUUGCUCUCACCCAGCACAACAGAUGAGUCAUGUUUCAGUUUGGAGAACACAAAGAUCUGUUUCACAAGACAUGGAAUAUUGAUCAUAGAUAGUGGAGAUAAUACAAAGACAACACUUCUUCAUGCUGCUGCUGGCUUUGGUGAUAUAGAAUCUGUAAGAUACCUUCUAGAGCAAGAUGUAGAUGUUAAUAUUACAGAUGAAAGGUUUGUCUUAAGAUGUCUACAUUUAAAGUCCAAUAUUCUUGAAUGUCUGUGA
Long non-coding RNA from Mercenaria mercenaria, 937 nucleotides. RefSeq lists it as uncharacterized. NCBI's taxonomy places the organism in Eukaryota, Metazoa, Mollusca, Bivalvia, Venerida, Veneridae. The transcript is spliced from 3 exons. The record is from RefSeq and is a predicted model, not a curated record.